Molecule: long non-coding RNA, 1945 nt
Organism: Cyprinus carpio (common carp)
Lineage: Eukaryota; Metazoa; Chordata; Actinopteri; Cypriniformes; Cyprinidae
Source: Ensembl
AAAAAAUUAAAAAUCUUUACUUUACAAAGUACUUAUUAUUCAGUGCUUUACAGUGGAAUGACUGUAAAUUACAGUGGUUUUGUUUCUCUGCUGUGUUGUGAUUUCCCAUCAGUCACAUGACCCGUAUCUGAGAUCAUAUCUCUGAUAUCUCAUAGCUUAUGUGUUAAAUACUUUCAGUUUUGUUUUGAUGCCUGAUCAAAAGGUUAAAUUGGAACAUUUACCAUGUUCAGAUGGCUGAAUAUGCUGCUGCUGUUUUGCUUUAUCAAUUAUAGAGAAACAACCAUAGGAAAUAUCCUUAUACACGUGACAGGACAAAAAGGAGAAGAUGUCACCCUGCCAUGUGAUAUUCAAGCCAGAGAGAUUUUUCAUUUCAUUUUAACCAGUCUGUCAAAAAGCAUCUUUGUUUGUCAGAAUGAAGAGUGUACGAGUAGCCGAGUAUUUAAAAAAGGAGCCUGUGACAUCAUCAUCAAGGAUCUGAGACUGAGUGAUGCUGGGAAAUACAUUUUGAGAGUCCAUUACAAUAAUACUGCAGAGCCACAAAUCAGGGAGUACCAUCUUCAAAUUCAAGAUGAAAUUUCUGUGAAAACAGGCGAGCAGGUGAAGUUGGAUGUUUUGUUUUCCCGUGCUGAUAAAGUAGAGACAAACUCCAGUGGAGAGUGGAGGGAGGUGUGGAAGAGAGGUCAUGGGGUCUGGAGUGAACGAAUGACUGACCGUGAUGGGAACUUGACCAUUAAAGAGUUUACAUCCAAUGAUACAGGAACAUACAGGGUUCUGGACUCUGAAGGAGAAAUCUUGAUCACAGUGACUGUCACAGGUGAGAGAAGUUCAGUGGAUGCUAGGAAUAUUAUUUAUAAAGUGCACAGCUGAGGUUUACUCAUUAUGAUUUGAACAGCAAUGCUAAAUGUUAAGACUAACCUUUCAAUAUUCUUUACAGAAUCUAGUACAGAAUCUGACUCAAAGAGGACAGAUGAUGACAAACCUUAUGACUCUGAACAGCAUAGUAAGUAGAACAGGAGUCAUUGAGAACUUUACAAAAUAUUUAAGUGAGUUUAAAAAAGAAAAAACAAAAAUGUAUCUUUUCACCUUCCAGCUGUAAAGAUUGUGAUUGGUGUACUGACUGUGUUUGGAGUUCUGGGGGUUCUGGCUCUUAUAAUUUUUGUAAGAAAAAUUAUAAACCUACCUGCAAAUGGAGGUUUCUUGCCAGUCCGCUGGAUAAGAGGGACACCUGAAGACUCAUAAUAUUCUCUCCUGAGGUACAUCUCUGCCAUUGCAGAACAUCUACUGGUGUUCAUCAACUGGUUACUUGAAAUUCACCUUCAGAGCCAACAGAUCAACACAGGAUUCUGUCAACAUACCGAAUGUCUGCAAUGUGUGCAAUAGUUAUCAGCUGUAAAUGUGAAACUGACAAUAUCGACAUUAUCUAAACGCCACUUCAGAUGCAGCUUCUGUGCCAAAGAUGGAUUUUGUUGAUUUCUUUUGAUUUGUAACAGCCUAAUUGUGUCUUAUACUAACUUAUUAUGGAUUAAAUGUAGGAAUUUGUCAUAAAAGAUAAUGCCUUUAUCUAAACAGGUUGGACAAAAUGCCCAUAUAAAGAUAAAAAAAUGCCCCGGGAAAUUAAUUUAAGAGAGAAAAUGUUACAUUUAAUGCAGAUAAGAAUAUGAAAAGCUUUUUUUGUAAGACAGGCCUAAACCAGUCAAGACAAACCAGCACAAAAACUCUAAGCAAAAUAUCAUCUAAUUAUCAUUAUCAACAAAAUGCCAGAAAAUACUGAGAUAUCAUAUGUGCGUAACUGAGAACAAUAUUUAAUAUGUAUGCUUUGUACAAAUGUGUUGAAAAAAUAUGUCAAGAUGAGGAAGAAUGUGUCCAAAGUUAAGUCUGUGUUCCUGACAAGUUAAACAACUUAUUCUUAUUUUAAGAAAAAAUAAACUAGGUCGAAAAAAAAACA